This 717-nucleotide long non-coding RNA is filed under the name Sinocyclocheilus anshuiensis. RNAcentral describes it as "lncRNA (ENSSANG00000047118.1)". The record is from RNAcentral. Lineage: Eukaryota; Metazoa; Chordata; Actinopteri; Cypriniformes; Cyprinidae.
AAAAAGAUUUUUCUGAAUAUAAUCUUAAAAAUGUUUGUUUCUUUCCAUCUUCAUGUCACUACCAUGAAUGGUAAGAGUGGCAAGAAAGACAUGAAAGGUUAGCUAAGUUUGAAUGUACAAAAAAAUCUGAAUGUGUAGAAUGUGGAUAUAUUAAAAACUAUAACUUGUGUUAAAGUGUAGCAUGAAUCUUAUAUGUGGAAAAUGUCACUAUUUCUGAAACGGUCAUCUGUUUCUUUUUGUUUUGUUUUUUUGCAUGACCUAACCCUUUCCAUGCCACGGUUUGAGCCGUCACAAUGGCAAACAUGCCGUCACAAAGGUGAAUAUGGUAAGACAGAUCAUGUGACAACACGAAAAAAAAAAACUUUAUUAAUGUGUUAAACUGCAACAUGAAUCUUUUUUUUAUUCUAGAAAAUAACUGUAUUUCUGAAUAUGUUCAUCUGUUUCUUUCUUUGCAUGACUCUUUUCAACUAUAUGCCAUGGUUUGAGCCGUCAGUGGAAAACGGUAAGAACACCAGAAACAUGUACUAACUUGUGUUAAAGUGCAGCAUGAAUUUUUUAUUCUGAAAAAUCACUGUAUUUCUGAAUAUGUUCAUCUGUUUCUUUCUUUGCACGACUCUUUUCAACUAUAUGCCAUGGUUUGAGCCAUCACAAUUGUGAAAAAUGGUAAGAUAACAGCAAUACUGGAAUACAUUACAGGACUUUUUAAAAGAUUUAAAU